GGGGCGGUAGCUCAGUUGGGAGAGCAUCUCGUUCGCAACGAGAAGGUCGGCGGUUCGAUCCCGCUCCGCUCCA
Molecule: non-coding RNA, 73 nt
Organism: Deltaproteobacteria bacterium RIFCSPLOWO2_02_44_9
Lineage: Bacteria; Deltaproteobacteria
Source: Rfam